Long non-coding RNA from Sapajus apella (tufted capuchin), 995 nucleotides. RefSeq lists it as uncharacterized. NCBI's taxonomy places the organism in Eukaryota, Metazoa, Chordata, Mammalia, Primates, Cebidae. The record is from RefSeq and is a predicted model, not a curated record. The transcript has 2 exons.
GCUGUGGGGACAGGGGAGGGAGAGUCAGUGACAGCCUGGGGCGGCAGGAUGCUGGCCUUUGCCGCCAAUAGGCAUCUUUUGUUCAGUGCUAGAGUUCAGCUUCCCAGACAGAAACACCUCUGCCCAGGGAGCUAAGCAGCUGCAGGAGCCAGGAAGGGCUCCACUCCACCCAUGCCUUCUUCAUUCUCUGCACAGCCUGGACAGAGCUAAAGGAGGUACCACUGACCCUGCUGCCGUCCUCCAGACCCACGGCUCCUCCCACUUCUUGGAGGAUGAGAUCGGCCUCAUCCAUACUGACCAUGCAGUUCACCUAUAAAUACCAACGCAAGCCAGCUAGCAGGGCUGGGAUAUUUACUGCAUCUCAAACAGCAUUCUGAACGCUGUGUGCCCAUCAUCUGAUCGAAUCCUCACUGCAGCUGUGUGAGUACAUGACAGACUCCAGUUGCCCUUUAAGAACAUGGGUUUGAACUGCAGGGGAUCACUUACAUGUAGAUUUUCUUCUGCCCCUGCACCAGAGACGGCAAGACAAACCCCUCCUCUUCCUCCUCCUGAGGCUACUCAGAGUGAAGAUGAUAAGGAUGAAGAUCUUUAUGGAUAAAGUAACAACUCACUCACUCAAUAAAGGUGGGCUUAUUCUCAAAUUCUCCGGUGCCUUCCUGCAAAGCACAUUGGAACACGAAGCUCGUCCGCGCCUUGCCUCAGACCCCUCCCAUCCACACCCUGUCUCAGGGCCCUUGGUGAAGCCCCCCUAGCUGCUACAGAUGGAGUCGGACACCAUCCAUCGAAGUCUGCUCCAAGGCAGGGAGCAUUUUCUGGACAGAAUGCAUCUCACUGCUCUUGACCACCCAUUGGUAUUUGUGGAUUGAGGUGUCCUUUUUUGUCAGAGUUUACUAAUAACUGAAAGAACGUUUAUCAGAUGGAUUUUUGUUUUCUCUGGACUCACCUGCCUAUUUCUUUUUUCUUUCUCCCUUUUUUUAAAUACGGAAAUAAAAGCA